GUCUUUGUGGAGUAAUGCAACUCGCUCCCACUUGUUAUGUGGGCUACUAUACUGGCAGUCACGGGAGAGCCGGUGGUUCGAAUCCACCGAAAGACA
Mycena rebaudengoi is the source of this 96-nucleotide non-coding RNA. The record is from the annotation of a GenBank genome assembly. NCBI's taxonomy places the organism in Eukaryota, Fungi, Basidiomycota, Agaricomycetes, Agaricales, Mycenaceae.